CGGGGUGAGUAACGCGUGGGUAACCUGCCUCAUACAGGGGAUAACAGUUGGAAACGGCUGCUAAUACCGCAUAAGCGCACAGUGCUGCAUGGCACAGUGUGAAAAACUCCGGUGGUAUGAGAUGGACCCGCGUCUGAUUAGCUGGUUGGUGGGGUAACGGCCUACCAAGGCGACGAUCAGUAGCCGGCCUGAGAGGGUGAACGGCCACAUUGGGACUGAGACACGGCCCAA
RNAcentral lists this ribosomal RNA (231 nucleotides) under uncultured bacterium. RNAcentral's name for it is "partial 16S ribosomal RNA". It matches the Rfam family "Bacterial small subunit ribosomal RNA", at positions 104 to 334 of the family's 1533-position model. The record is from RNAcentral.